AGUCGAACGAUGAAGCCAGCUUGCUGGUGGAUUAGUGGCGAACGGGUGAGUAACACGUGAGUAACCUGCCCUUGACUCUGGGAUAAGCCUGGGAAACUGGGUCUAAUACCGGAUAUGACCUUCCAUCGCAUGGUGGUUGGUGGAAAGCUUUUGUGGUUUUGGAUGGACUCCCGGCCUAUCAGCUUGUUGGUGAGGUAAUGGCUU
This 204-nucleotide ribosomal RNA is filed under the name bacterium M1-118-16S. RNAcentral's name for it is "partial 16S ribosomal RNA". It matches the Rfam family "Bacterial small subunit ribosomal RNA", at positions 60 to 266 of the family's 1533-position model. The record is from RNAcentral.